UUCUUAUUGGAUGAUGACUGUCACGUGUCAUGUUUUAAUUGGAUGUCAACUCCAUGAAAGAUGAAAUGCAUUGUUGUUAACGGUCAACGUCCAAUUGUGGCCUGGGGGACCAACAUUGCAC
Non-coding RNA from Glycine max (soybean), 121 nucleotides. NCBI's taxonomy places the organism in Eukaryota, Viridiplantae, Streptophyta, Magnoliopsida, Fabales, Fabaceae. The record is from Rfam.